Molecule: ribosomal RNA, 774 nt
Filed under: uncultured Neocallimastigales
Lineage: Eukaryota; Fungi; Neocallimastigomycota; Neocallimastigomycetes; Neocallimastigales
Description: partial large subunit ribosomal RNA
Rfam family: Eukaryotic large subunit ribosomal RNA
Source: RNAcentral
UAUCUCUGUAGAGUCUGCAUAUCAAUAAGCGGAGGAAAAGAAACUAACAAGGAUUCCCUUAGUAACGGCGAGUGAAGCGGGAAGAGCUCAAGUUUGAAAUCUUCAAGGUUCUACCUUGACGAAUUGUAGUUUAAAGAAGUGUUUUCUGUUAGAUGAGUAGCAAAAGUUCCUUGGAAUGGGACAUCAUAGAGGGUGAGAAUCCCGUAUUUGGUUAUUCAUUCUAGCUUUGUGAUACACUUUCAAAGAGUCAGGAUUGUUUGGGAAUGCAGUCCAAAAUGGGUGGUAAAUUUCAUCUAAAGCUAAAUAUUGGCGAGAGACCGAUAGCGAACAAGUACCGUGAGGGAAAGAUGAAAAGAACUUUGAAAAGAGAGUUAAACAGUACGUGAAAUUGUCAAAAGGGAAGCGUUUGACACCAGUGUUGUUUUUCCGAAAAUCAAUUACGAAUGGCUUGAUUUUGUGUUGUAUUGACCUUAUCAGCUUUCUGCACUUUUUUCGAGUCUUUCUUAAUGCACUUUUCGGUUAACAAGUCAACAUCAAUUUCUUUUGUUGUAAAAGAGUAUUCGGAAGGUGGCUUUCUUUUCGGAGAAAGUGUUUAUAGCCCUAUACUUCUACAAUCGGAGAGAUUGAGGUCUGCAGCGUAGAUCCUUCGGGGUUAGAUACAUUUGUGCUAAGUUGUAGCUUUUCAUAGACAACUUGUUGACUAUGUUUAGUCAUGCGGCUUACUCGCUUAUGCUAUUUUACCUACGCUUAGGAUGUUGAACUACUGAGACAUAG